CUUGAUCGACCCCAGCAGCAGCGGCCGGUCCUCGGGACGGUCCUGGCCGUACGUGGCGAGCAGCGCCUGGAGCUC
Molecule: antisense RNA, 75 nt
Filed under: Streptomyces malaysiensis
Lineage: Bacteria; Bacillati; Actinomycetota; Actinomycetes; Kitasatosporales; Streptomycetaceae
Also listed under: 1 other name
Description: ASpks TB sRNA
Rfam family: ASpks TB sRNA
Source: Rfam by way of RNAcentral